RNAcentral lists this ribosomal RNA (200 nucleotides) under uncultured bacterium. RNAcentral's name for it is "partial 16S ribosomal RNA". It matches the Rfam family "Bacterial small subunit ribosomal RNA", at positions 28 to 208 of the family's 1533-position model. The record is from RNAcentral.
GACGAACGCUGGCGGCGUGCCUAAUACAUGCAAGUCGAGCGAGCGGAACUAACAGAUUUACUUCGGUAAUGACGUUAGGAAAGCGAGCGGCGGAUGGGUGAGUAACACGUGGGGAACCUGCCCCAUAGUCUGGGAUACCACUUGGGAACAGGUGCUAAUACCGGAUAAGAAAGCAGAUCGCAUGAUCAGCUUUUAAAAGG